RNAcentral lists this ribosomal RNA (253 nucleotides) under uncultured bacterium. Its description in RNAcentral is "partial 16S ribosomal RNA". It matches the Rfam family "Bacterial small subunit ribosomal RNA", at positions 524 to 776 of the family's 1533-position model. The record is from RNAcentral.
UACGUAGGGUGCAAGCGUUGUCCGGAAUUAUUGGGCGUAAAGAGCUCGUAGGCGGUCUGUCGCGUCUGCUGUGAAAACUCAGGGCUUAACCCUGAGCUUGCAGUGGGUACGGGCAGACUAGAGUGCGGUAGGGGAGACUGGAAUUCCUGGUGUAGCGGUGAAAUGCGCAGAUAUCAGGAGGAACACCUGAGGCGAAGGCGGGUUGCUAGGCUGACACUGACGCUGAGGCGCGAAAGCUAGGGUAGCAAACGGG